This 449-nucleotide ribosomal RNA is filed under the name uncultured bacterium. RNAcentral describes it as "partial 16S ribosomal RNA". It matches the Rfam family "Bacterial small subunit ribosomal RNA", at positions 29 to 523 of the family's 1533-position model. The record is from RNAcentral.
AACGAACGCUGGCGGCAGGCUUAACACAUGCAAGUCGAACGCGCCCUUCGGGGUGAGUGGCAGACGGGUGAGUAACGCGUGGGAACAUGCCUUUCGGACUGGAAUAACUGGGGAAACUUCAGCUAAGACCGGAUACGCCCUUAGGGGGAAUGAUUUAUCGCCGAAAGAUUGGCCCGCGUCCGAUUAGCUAGUUGGUGUUGGUAAUGGCUCACCAAGGCGACGAUCGGUAGCUGGUCUGAGAGGAUGGCCAGCCACAUUGGGACUGAGACACGGCCCAAACUCCUACGGGAGGCAGCAGUGGGGAAUAUUGGACAAUGGGCGCAAGCCUGAUCCAGCCAUGCCGCGUGAGUGAUGACGGCCUUAGGGUUGUAAAGCUCUUUCGCACGUGACGAUAAUGACGGUAACGUGAGAAGAAGCCCCGGCUAACUUCGUGCCAGCCGCCGCGGUAA